This 348-nucleotide ribosomal RNA is filed under the name uncultured bacterium. RNAcentral's name for it is "partial 16S ribosomal RNA". It matches the Rfam family "Bacterial small subunit ribosomal RNA", at positions 338 to 684 of the family's 1533-position model. The record is from RNAcentral.
CCUACGGGAGGCAGCAGUGAGGAAUAGUGGUCAAUGGCCGGAAGGCUGAACCAGCCAAGCCGCGUGAAGGACGGAGGUGCCAAGCAUUGAAAACUUCUUUUGUCAAGGGACAAAAUAAGGCACGAGAGCCUGACCGAGGGGACGUGAAGAAAAAGCAUAGGCUAACUCAGUGCCAGCAGCAGAGGUAAUACGGAGGAUGCGCUCGUUAUCCGGAUUUAUUGGGUUUAAAGGGUGCGUAGGAGGACUGUUAAGUCAGCGGUAAAAGCCCGGGGCUCAACCCCGGCGCGCCGUUGACACUGUCUGUCUUGAGUUGUCGUGAGGUAUGCGGAAUGCGCCGUGUAGCGGUGA